This 301-nucleotide ribosomal RNA is filed under the name uncultured bacterium. Its description in RNAcentral is "partial 16S ribosomal RNA". It matches the Rfam family "Bacterial small subunit ribosomal RNA", at positions 509 to 809 of the family's 1533-position model. The record is from RNAcentral.
CAGCAGCCGCGGGAAUACGAGGGGAGCUAGCGUUAUUCGGAAUUACUGGGCGUAAAGCGCACGUAGGCGGCUUUGUAAGUUAGAGGUGAAAGCCCAGAGCUCAACUCUGGAAUUGCCUUUAAGACUGCAUCGCUUGAAUCCAGGAGAGGUGAGUGGAAUUCCGAGUGUAGAGGUGAAAUUCGUAGAUAUUCGGGAGAACACCAGUGGCGAAGGCGGCUCACUGGACUGGUAUUGACGCUGAGGUGCGAAAGCGUGGGGAGCGAACAGGAUUAGAUACCCCCGUAGUCCCUGUCUCUUAUAU